UACAGAGGGGGCAAGCGUUGUUCGGAAUUACUGGGCGUAAAGGGCGCGUAGGCGGCCUUCUAAGUCGAACGUGAAAUCCCCGGGCUCAACCCGGGAGCUGCGUCCGAUACUGGAAGGCUUGAAUCCGGGAGAGGGAUGCGGAAUUCCAGGUGUAGCGGUGAAAUGCGUAGAUAUCUGGAGGAACACCGGUGGCGAAGGCGGCAUCCUGGACCGGCAUUGACGCUGAGGCGCGAAAGCCAGGGGAGCAAACGGG
This 253-nucleotide ribosomal RNA is filed under the name uncultured bacterium. Its description in RNAcentral is "partial 16S ribosomal RNA". It matches the Rfam family "Bacterial small subunit ribosomal RNA", at positions 524 to 776 of the family's 1533-position model. The record is from RNAcentral.